This 253-nucleotide ribosomal RNA is filed under the name uncultured bacterium. RNAcentral describes it as "partial 16S ribosomal RNA". It matches the Rfam family "Bacterial small subunit ribosomal RNA", at positions 524 to 776 of the family's 1533-position model. The record is from RNAcentral.
UACGUAGGGAGCAAGCGUUGUCCGGAAUUACUGGGUGUAAAGGGAGUGUAGGCGGGACAGCAAGUUAGGUGUGAAAUAUACGGGCUCAACUCGUAUACUGCACUUAAAACUGUUGUUCUUGAGUGAUGAAGAGGCAGGCGGAAUUCCCAGUGUAGCGGUGAAAUGCGUAGAUAUUGGGAGGAACAUCAGUGGCGAAGGCGGCCUGCUGGGCAUUAACUGACGCUGAGGCUCGAAAGCGUGGGGAGCAAACAGG